This 507-nucleotide ribosomal RNA is filed under the name uncultured bacterium. RNAcentral's name for it is "bacterial SSU rRNA". It matches the Rfam family "Archaeal small subunit ribosomal RNA", at positions 725 to 1230 of the family's 1478-position model. The record is from RNAcentral.
AGUGAAUAGAUACCCUGGUAGUCCCAGCUGUAAACGAUGCGCGUUAGGUGUAUCGGUGACCACGAGUCACCGAGGUGCCGAAGAGAAAUCGUGAAACGUGCCGCCUGGGAAGUACGGUCGCAAGGCUGAAACUUAAAGGAAUUGGCGGGGGAGCACCACAACAGGUGGAGCCUGCGGUUUAAUCGGACUCAACGCCGGAAACCUCACCGGAUAAGACAGCUGUAUGAUAGUCGGGCUGAAGACUCUACUUGACUAGCUGAGAGGAGGUGCAUGGCCGUCGUCAGUUCGUACUGUGAAGCAUCCUGUUAAGUCAGGCAACGAGCGAGACCCACGCCAACAGUUGCCAGCUCGUCCUCCGGGAUGGUGGGGACACUGUUGGGACCGCCUCUGCUAAAGAGGAGGAAGGAAUGGGCAACGGUAGGUCAGCAUGCCCCGAAUUAUCCGGGCUACACGCGGGCUACAAUGGGUGGGACAAUGGGUAUCGACACCGAAAGGUGAAGGCAAUCU